GAUGAACGCUGGCGGCGUGCCUAAUACAUGCAAGUCGAGCGAACGGACGAGAAGCUUGCUCCUCUGACGUUAGCGGCGGACGGGUGAGUAACACGUGGAUAACCUACCUAUAAGACUGGGAUAACUUCGGGAAACCGGAGCUAAUACCGGAUAAUAUUUUGAACCGCAUGGUUCAAUAGUGAAAGACGGUUUUGCUGUCACUUAUAGAUGGAUCCGCGCUGCAUUAGCUAGUUGGUAAGGUAACGGCUUACCAAGGCAACGAUGCGUAGCCGACCUGAGAGGGUGAUCGGCCACACUGGAACUGAGACACGGUCCAGACUCCUACGGGAGGCAGCAGUAGGGAAUCUUCCGCAAUGGGCGAAAGCCUGACGGAGCAACGCCGCGUGAGUGAUGAAGGUCUUCGGAUCGUAAAACUCUGUUAUUAGGGAAGAACAUAUGUGUAAGUAACUGUGCACGUCUUGACGGUACCUAAUCAGAAAGCCACGGCUAACUACGUG
This 497-nucleotide ribosomal RNA is filed under the name uncultured bacterium. Its description in RNAcentral is "partial 16S ribosomal RNA". It matches the Rfam family "Bacterial small subunit ribosomal RNA", at positions 28 to 507 of the family's 1533-position model. The record is from RNAcentral.